GCGCGGAUGGUGGAAUGGUAGACACGAGAGACUUAAAAUCUCUUGGGCGGAUAGCCCGUGCGGGUUCAAGUCCCGCUCUGCGCACCA
RNAcentral lists this transfer RNA (87 nucleotides) under Candidatus Saccharimonadota bacterium. RNAcentral describes it as "tRNA-Leu". It matches the Rfam family "tRNA". From Rfam's summary of the family: Transfer RNA (tRNA) molecules are approximately 80 nucleotides in length. Their secondary structure includes four short double-helical elements and three loops (D, anti-codon, and T loops). The record is from RNAcentral. Lineage: Bacteria; Candidatus Saccharimonadota.